GAAGCAAAUAAGGGCACAGGGGGAAUGCCUAGGCUCUCAGAGAUGACGAAGGACGCGAUAAGCUGCGAAAAGCUACGACGAGCUGCAAAUACGCUAUGACUCGUAGAUGUCCGAAUGGGGGAACCCUCCAGAUUGAAGAUCUGGAACCCGCAAGGGGAAGAACGCAGGGAACUGAAACAUCUAAGUACCUGCAGGAAAAGAAACUAAGAAAAGGAUUCCGUAAGUAGUGGCGAGCGAACACGGAGGAGCCCAGCUCUAAUAAAGUAGUCAAGUUGAAUGGUCUGGAAAGGCCUGCCGAAGAAGGUGAUAGCCCUGUAGACGAAGACGAAAAAGAGCGAAGAGUAGCGCGGGACCGGAGGAAUCUUGCGUGAACAUGGCAGCACCAUCUGCCAAGGCUAAAUACUACUGAGAGACCGAUAGUGAACAAGUACCGUGAGGGAAAGGUGAAAAGAACUGCUAGGAGCAGAGUGAAAAGAACCUGAAACCCUGUGUCUACAAGCGGUGGGAGCGCAAGCGACCACGUGCCUUUUGCAUAAUGAGCCUACGAGUUAGUCUUCUAUGGCAAGGAUAAGGACUGGAGGUCCGCAUCCGGAGCGAAAGCGAGUCUGAAUAGGGCGCCGAGUCAUAGGAGCUAGACGCGAAACCAAGUGAUCUACCCAUGAGCAGGUUGAAGUUGCGGUAACACGCAAUGGAGGACCGAACCAGUAAACGUUGAAAAGUUUUUUGGAUGACUUGUGGUAGGGGUGAAAGGCCAAUCAAACUUGGAAAUAGCUCGUACUCCCCGAAAUGCAUUGAGGUGCAGCGUUCGGUUAGAGUGUCUAAGAGGUAGAGCUACCAAUAGGGCUAGGGGGAGUCAAAUCCUACC
Molecule: ribosomal RNA, 865 nt
Filed under: Saprospira grandis DSM 2844
Lineage: Bacteria; Pseudomonadati; Bacteroidota; Saprospiria; Saprospirales; Saprospiraceae
Description: partial 23S ribosomal RNA
Rfam family: Bacterial large subunit ribosomal RNA
Source: RNAcentral